Molecule: non-coding RNA, 181 nt
Organism: Cinara cedri
Lineage: Eukaryota; Metazoa; Arthropoda; Insecta; Hemiptera; Aphididae
Source: the annotation of a GenBank genome assembly
AUUUUUUUUUUUAAUCAGUUGGAUUGCAGGUUUGAGCAUAAGUAUCUGAGGUUUGUGAGUGACGGGUAUNGUUCAAAUGUUAAACUAAUUUUUUGAAAGUAGGCGGAGAAUUUGGGGCUUGCUCCUACUCCGUCGCGGGUUGUCCCGGUUUAGCACCACCACCGGGAACGGCCCAAUAUAU